RNAcentral lists this ribosomal RNA (254 nucleotides) under uncultured bacterium. RNAcentral describes it as "partial 16S ribosomal RNA". It matches the Rfam family "Bacterial small subunit ribosomal RNA", at positions 524 to 776 of the family's 1533-position model. The record is from RNAcentral.
UACGGAGGGGGUUAGCGUUGUUCGGAAUGACUGGGCGUAAAGCGCGCGUAGGCGGAUCGGAUAGUUGGGGGUGAAAUCCCGGGGCUCAACCCGGGAACUGCGUCCGAUACUGGCAGGCUUGAAUCCGGGAGAGGGAUGCGGAAUUCCAGGUGUAGCGGUGAAAUGCGUAGAUAUCGGAAGGAACAUCAGUGGCGAAGGCGGGUCUCUGGACAGUUCCUGACGCUGAGGCACGAAGGUCAAGGGGAGCAAACGGG